UGCGCAGGUGGGGGUGUAAGUCAGUGGUGAAAUGUUGCCGCUCAACGGUAAAAUUGCCAUUGAUACUGCAUCUCUUGAGUAUGGUUGAGGUAGGCGGAAUGUGUUGUGUAGCGGUGAAAUGCAUAGAUAUGACACAGAACACCGAUUGCGAAGGCAGCUUACUAAGCCAUUACUGACGCUGAGGCACGAAAGCGUGGGGAGCGAACAGGAUUAGAUACCCGAGUAGUCC
This 229-nucleotide ribosomal RNA is filed under the name uncultured bacterium. RNAcentral's name for it is "partial 16S ribosomal RNA". It matches the Rfam family "Bacterial small subunit ribosomal RNA", at positions 568 to 796 of the family's 1533-position model. The record is from RNAcentral.